ACGAACGCUGGCGGCGUGCCUAAUACAUGCAAGUAGCACGCUGAAGGAGGAGCUUGCUUCUCUGGAUGAGUUGCGAACGGGUGAGUAACGCGUAGGUAACCUGCCUGGUAGCGGGGGAUAACUAUUGGAAACGAUAGCUAAUACCGCAUAAGAGUAGAUGUUGCAUGACAUUUGCUUAAAAGGUGCAAUUGCAUCACUACCAGAUGGACCUGCGUUGUAUUAGCUAGUUGGUGGGGUAACGGCUCACCAAGGCGACGAUACAUAGCCGACCUGAGAGGGUGAUCGGCCACACUGGGACUGAGACACGGCCCAGACUCCUACGGGAGGCAGCAGUAGGGAAUCUUCGGCAAUGGACGGAAGUCUGACCGAGCAACGCCGCGUGAGUGAAGAAGGUUUUCGGAUCGUAAAGCUCUGUUGUAAGAGAAGAACGAGUGUGAGAGUGGAAAGUUCACACUGUGACGGUAUCUUACCAGAAAGAGACGGCUAACUACGUG
Molecule: ribosomal RNA, 494 nt
Filed under: uncultured bacterium
Lineage: Bacteria
Description: partial 16S ribosomal RNA
Rfam family: Bacterial small subunit ribosomal RNA
Source: RNAcentral